Molecule: microRNA, 22 nt
Filed under: Lingula anatina
Lineage: Eukaryota; Metazoa; Brachiopoda; Lingulata; Lingulida; Lingulidae
Description: Lan-Mir-1990-P2_5p* (star (passenger))
Source: RNAcentral
UGUAAGUUUACAUAGUCCCAGG